ACUCUUGACCCCGGUACCCAUAAUGUGUGGAACUCGUGAUCAGAGAAUCCUGAUUCUCGAUCACUGAGUCCCAAAUAUGCAGGAUUCUACACCAGCCAUCAGAUCAGAUAGGAACCUCUAAUGUGUGUGACCCCACAGGUUCGAACCUAAGUCGGUAGCACAGGAAUCAAUUCCUGUACUAAUCGAAGUGACCAUCUAGCAAUAGUACCCGACGUCUGCAU
RNAcentral lists this long non-coding RNA (221 nucleotides) under Elaeis guineensis (African oil palm). RNAcentral describes it as "long non-coding RNA (EGUI_LNC078485)". Lineage: Eukaryota; Viridiplantae; Streptophyta; Magnoliopsida; Arecales; Arecaceae. The record is from RNAcentral.